GAUGAACGCUGGCGGCGUGCCUAAUACAUGCAAGUCGAGCGAACAGACGAGGAGAUUGCUCCUCUGACGUUAGCGGCGGACGGGUGGGUAACACGUGGAUAACCUACCUAUAAGACUGGGAUAACUACGGGGAACCGCAGACAAUACCGGCUAAUAUAUCCAACCGCAUGGUUCAAUAGUGAAAGACGGUUUUCCCGUCAGUAAGAGACGGUUUCGGGCCGCAUUAGCUAGUUGGUAAGGUAACGGCUUACCAAGGCGACGAUGCGUAGCCGACCUGAGAGGGUGAUCGGCCACACUGGAACUGAGACACGGUCCAGACUCCUACGGGAGGCAGCAGUAGGGAAUAUUCCACAAUGGGCGAAAGCCUGACGGAGCAACACCGCGUGAGUGAUGAAGGUCUUCGGAUCGUAAAGCUCUGUUAUUGGGGAAGAAAAAAUGUAUAAGUAACUAUCGACGUCUUGACGGUACCUAAACAGAAAGCCACGGCUAACUUCGUG
This 497-nucleotide ribosomal RNA is filed under the name uncultured bacterium. RNAcentral describes it as "partial 16S ribosomal RNA". It matches the Rfam family "Bacterial small subunit ribosomal RNA", at positions 28 to 507 of the family's 1533-position model. The record is from RNAcentral.